This 199-nucleotide long non-coding RNA is filed under the name Vigna radiata. RNAcentral describes it as "long non-coding RNA (VRAD_LNC011317)". The record is from RNAcentral. Lineage: Eukaryota; Viridiplantae; Streptophyta; Magnoliopsida; Fabales; Fabaceae.
UCCCCUACAAGAAAAAGAGUUUGUCUCUAACAAACACUAAUACUACCUACAAACUAGAGCAUAUCAGUCUUGCCAAAGUUAUUCUCACUUGGGCUAUUUAGGAACUCCCUAACUAGCCAAAACCAUCAAACCAAUUGGGACAACCUUUUUUCAGUAAGUCCUUUCCAUACCCGUUCCCUAUCCUGAACGAAACCCCUGC